RNAcentral lists this ribosomal RNA (492 nucleotides) under uncultured bacterium. Its description in RNAcentral is "partial 16S ribosomal RNA". It matches the Rfam family "Bacterial small subunit ribosomal RNA", at positions 29 to 507 of the family's 1533-position model. The record is from RNAcentral.
AGUGAACGCUGGCGGUAGGCCUAACACAUGCAAGUCGAACGGCAGCACCGUACGAGCUUGCUCUUACGGGUGGCGAGUGGCGGACGGGUGAGGAAUACAUCGGAAUCUACUUUUUCGUGGGGGAUAACGUAGGGAAACUUACGCUAAUACCGCAUACGACCUACGGGUGAAAGCAGGGGAUCUUCGGACCUUGCGCGAUUGAAUGAGCCGAUGUCGGAUUAGCUAGUUGGCGGGGUACAGGCCCACCAAGGCGACGAUCCGUAGCUGGUCUGAGAGGAUGAUCAGCCACACUGGAACUGAGACACGGUCCAGACGCCUACGAGAGGCAGCAGUGGGGAAUAUUGGACAAUGGGCGCAAGCCUGAUCCAGCCAUACCGCGUGGGUGAAGAAGGCCUUCGGGUUGUAAAGCCCUUUUGUUGGGAAAGAAAAGCAGCAGGUUAAUACCCCGCUGUUCUGACGGUACCCAAAGAAUAAGCACCGGCUAACUUCGUG